ACAUCUGCUUUAUCCAUUCACCUGUUGGUGGACAUUUAGGUUGCUUCCAUGUCUUGGCUAUUGUAAAUAUUGCUGCUGUGAACAUUGCAGUGCAUAUAUCUUUUUGAAUUAGUUCUCAUCUUUUCCAGGUAUGUGACCAGGAGUGGGAUUGCUGGAUCAUAUGGCCUUCUACAAGCAAUGCUGUCAUCUGAUAAAAGCCUCGGUGACCCCUCAGCAAUCCUGCAAAGAACUCGAAGCCUCAUAAGCAGCUCUGCUCAGUGCUUUGAUCAGACCAGAACCGACAGGACACUCGGGCCCGCACCGCGCAGCCGGUGCUCACCUCUGCCUUCGUGCAGAAUUUUGCUGAAAGGCUUCAGCUGUUUCUCGUAGAGGAUGGCGGUUUGGGUGUACUGGUGCCGCAGGGCAGUCCACGUUUUUUCUAACCUCCUGAUCUGGAAGAAAGAAAGGUGCUACUGUUUUGGAAAAGGCUCUUUUUAAAACUACCUUUUUGCUUAAGUUUUGGAAUGGGUGAUAGAUGUAGAUGGUAAAAACUCACAGCAGUUGAACAGUGUACAGAGAAAAGCUGAUCCCCCACCCCCACCCCGCUCCGCGUUACUCUAAUGGCCCAUCAAGACACACGCACACCCCUUUUCAAAUAAUUAAAAG
Molecule: non-coding RNA, 645 nt
Organism: Vicugna pacos (alpaca)
Lineage: Eukaryota; Metazoa; Chordata; Mammalia; Artiodactyla; Camelidae
Source: RefSeq, a predicted model, not a curated record